GAUGUUGUAGGCUGGAAGUUUACUUCUAAGAAAAUCUUUACCACCAAGUCAGUAUAUGAGUGGAUGGAAAAAGACCUGGCCGGACCUAACUAUAAGUGGGUUUGGAAAGCAAAGAUUCCCCUGAAGAUUAAAAUCUUCAUUUGGCAACUUUUCCAAAAUGCGGUUCUUACUAGAGAUAAUAUGCGUAAAAGAAGCUGGCCUGGUAAUCCUUCUUGUUUGUUUUGUCGUGACGGUGAAACUGCUAGACACAUAUAUUUUGGCUGUGUGUUUGCUCGUUCGGUGUGGGGAACUUUUGGUUUGGCCUUGGGGGCAGCUAGUUGCCCCAGAUCCCUUCACUAG
Molecule: ribosomal RNA, 339 nt
Filed under: Triticum aestivum (bread wheat)
Lineage: Eukaryota; Viridiplantae; Streptophyta; Magnoliopsida; Poales; Poaceae
Description: partial small subunit ribosomal RNA
Source: RNAcentral